AGUUAAUUCUAAGUUUACAUAAAUUACGUUGGUUUGUGUAUGUCUCUACCAUUGUUAUUAGCACUAAUACGGGAGUUUUUUAAAGGGCCAGAACGGAUUAAUUUUUUUUUAAUUUCUUAUAGGAAAAACUGAUUUAAGAUACGAGCACGAGCUUACGAACGGAUUAUGCUCGUAUCUCCAGGUUCCACUUUACUCUGAAAGAUCAGGCUAAUUACAGGACAACAUAUAUAUUUACUGUAUUCUUAUCUGGUGACUAUAAGGAUAAAGGUUUUUCUGCUCUCACCACUCAAGUUUUUUUUUCUCUAUUCACCAUCCACUGUCUCUAAUAUGUCCUUUAAAACCAAGUGAUUCUUGUUGACACACCUUUAAUAAACUACACAACAACAAAGUAGGAUCCUGCAGUCCUGUAGGACUUGGUGGGGAAACCAAAUAAAUAUAUAAAUAUAUAAAUAAAUAUGUGAAGUGUGUGGAUUAGUCUGAAUAAUAAAGAAUAUUUUCCUGAAAUUCAGCACGAGAAAUCUGAUGAACAUAUUGCAUGUGUUCCAUAAAAGUGCAUUCACAGAGCAGCUUGAACAAUAGAAGCAGUGCUUUAGGAAGGAGAGGGGAGUGUGUGUGUGGAGGGGUGUUCAUGUUCAUUUAAACAAGCAGAGUGUGGCUGUGGGCCCGAAACAGCCAGCAGUACAUUUCCAUAACAGGAAAGGUCAGAGCUGCGGCUAUGACGGCUUAAGAGAAGCUAACACAGUCUUUUCUGGGAGCUCCCAGCUGACUGGAUUUAAUUUAUUGCAUUAAUAAAAUGUUACAUUUUGCAUUCUGUAUGGUGUCACUCCAGUUAGCACAUUUAUUUGACAUUUAAUUCAUGUUUUUAGUUUAUACACACUAUACUGUUAUAUUUCUCUGGGGGCAUUUCAUAUUUUAUUAUUUGUAACUAUAUUAUAAAUUAAAAAUGAACUUGUUUUUUUUUUUUACAUUGAUGCAGCUACAGUGCUAACUGUUAUAAAUGUAGCAUUUGUAUUAUUUUUUCUGAAAUUAUCUGUUGUAUAGAUAGCAAUUACAUAAAGUAAUACAACUUUAAAAUCUGUUUUGAAGCAGCAUCCUGGUCGACAGAACGACUCCUGGCCUCAUAAAGUACUGCGUCACUGUUGACACUGCCUUGAAACCUACUUAGGUCUUUCCUGUAUAUAAUUAACUACUGCCACUGGUAUUUGACUGAAUAGAUGCCUGUUUUGGUUAAUAGUUGACUUCUCUCCCACACUGUUAGCAUUAGUUCUGCUAACUCACAAGAAGUGUUUUCAAUCUUUUCUUAGUCUACAGCAAGUAAUAAAUAGAAAUAAUACUUCACGUAAAGGCAAGUAAGAGGCUGUACUUCAGUUUGAAAUUCUGCCGGUAAAAACGGGCAGAGCCAGCCACUGAGCCCACCCGGGCCUCACCUUGUGGGUGCAGAAGUGUCACAUUGCAGCUCGUCCGAACCAGAUAAGGCUGAAGUGUGAGGUUUUUCGUCUGUCGUCUAGGUGAAACAACAGAACCAAAAAAGGCACUUAAUCCACAGUACUCUGAAUUAUUCAGUGGAGCGCUGCCACCGGCCAGAGAGAGCUGUCUCUGCGUGAGACGUCGAAACAGAAAGACAACAUGAUGUGGCAGUGGAGGUGAGGUGUCAGUGGUAGAGCGACAGCAGCAGAUGUCAGGGUGGGGGCUUCCAAGGAAACCCCACACUCAUCUUUUUUUUGCACCCUUGCCUUGCUCUCCUCCGCAUGGCAGUUGUUAUCGCAUAACCAGGGUAUAACUAGCUGUCACGACAAGUCAACUGUAAAUAGACAGCAUUCCUGGCGGUCAGCUUGUCCUGACACAGAAACCGACGGGGUGCUGGCUGCAGAGGGGAUCAGGUGUCUCGGGCAGCCAUCGUGACAAAGCAAAUCCACCCACGGCCGUGGCCUGAACUGAAAGUCAGAGUAAAGAGCAGCAAUAAUAGUAAUGAAAUCUGAUAACAACAGGCAAGGUUACAGGCACAAGGCUCACCUCGUACAUUUAGACCCAUGUUAGUUAAUAAAGUCUUAACAAUACCAGGUUCUCGUGAGAUAUCUUUCUCAGAAUGCGUAGGAUUUUUUUUGAAAAUCAGGACAAAUAUAUUUUCAAGGCGAGGAGUUCAUAAUAACUGUGGCGUUAUGGCCACUGGUUAUUUUUUAACAUCUAUUUAAUCACUGAUGUUUAAAUAUAUUUGGUUCUUAUUUACCAUGUAUUUUGUUUUCUUUUUUUCCAGAUGAGAAAGAGUUAGUUCUAGCCAUUUAACGGAGACUUUGCUUCAUUUAAAAAAAAAAAAAGAUAUUGUUGUUUUUCCUUUUCCCUACUCAGUAGAGUAUAUAAAUAAUUAAAUAAUUCUACAGUUACUGUUCACUAAUCAAAACUGGUUAGUCAUCCCGGUGACCAAACGCUGUGACGAAUGACUCAUCAAAAAAUGUUUAGAUAUGGAAAUGCUAUAUACCCAGGCUUUGAACUGUCAGAUUACUACAGAUUACUGCACUUCAGAGCAUACUGUAUCACAGAUUACGACGGCGGAAUUAAACAAAUGACGUAUUUGUAGAAAUGCUGAAAAGUGGCCGCAAGACUUUUUUUAGAGCGUGCAUUGUAGUAAAAAUGUAAUUCCCUAAGGUCUUUACUGCCCUGUGUUUGAGGAAAUACCCUGCCUGAAGUGCAGUGCUUCAGUAAACACCGAUGCAAAUCACAGCGCUUCAGGUCUGCCGUGGGAGGUGAUGCAGUGUCAGGAAAUAGAGGCUGAGGAACUCCUGACCUUUCCUUUCGUCGGCACUUUCUGUCAUUUAGACGUCUGUGUCUCGGUGUCACCGUGGGCAGACCAGGAGGAGUUCAACUGUCACCUUCAGGGGAAGACAAACUCACUUUCAAGAACAGCAGUGUUUACAUUAGUGUGUGGAUUUCGGGUAAUAAACACAAAUGAGCAAGUGAUAUGAGAAAGAGAAAGUAGAGUGAGGGGUUGAUAUAGUAGAUGAUGAUUCAGGGAGAACAGCGUGUAAUACCCCAACGCAUACUAUUUCUGUACUGUCUGUUAGCCCGUGCGUGAAGGGGGGGGGAUCCCACCCUGUGUGUGUGUGUGUGUGUGUGUGUAGUGUUGACCAUGCAGAGUCAGUCAGUCUGCCAUGGGGCCUCGGGGAUUCCUGUUUCGUCUUUUAGAAAUGCUCUGGGGUCUCACUAGAGGUUGCGCCUGGUGAUGGUGGUUAAGGGGCCUAUCAGCUGGCCUGAAGGAUGUGUUCAUGUCUCCUCACCCUCACACCAUCUAUCCAUGCUCAUAAAUCACUAAAUCCCGACAUUUUCUACAGCUCUAAGGGACUAAGGAGUGGAUUUAUGACAACAAAAAGUUGUCAUAAAUCCAGAUAUCUGGGUAUUUGUUGAGUCUUUAAAACAGGGGUUUCAAAUUUUGGUUCAGGGGUCGCCUACAACCUAAUUAGAUGUCAAGUGGGCCAGAACCAGUAGAAUCGUAAUAUAAUUAACUAUAAAUAACAAUAGGUCCAACAGUAUAUUAGAUGUUCAUUGAUUCACAUUUAAUAAAUAAUUUUACAAAAAAAUAUCCUGGACAAGUGUUUGUGCAUUUUGUCAUUUUUACAAUUUAUCAAGCAGGCUGGAUUGAACACCCUAGUGGGCCGGUUUUGGCCCGUGGGCCGUAUGUUUGACACCAAUGCUUUCAAAUAUUUGAUUCUCUGCAUUUAACAUAUGUAUUAUGUACUUUACAUUUAAUAAUCCUGCCUUACGUCAACAAGGUCACUGCUCAAGCACCUACUUUAACUGAUUCUUUUUUAUGAUUUCUAUCCAAGGGUGUGGACUAAUUUUUUUUUAAAUGAAAAUUAUUAUCAACAGCAUCCUGAAAUGCCACAUAGACCGUAACUGUGACUAACAAAAAUAUUUGAUGAGUCACAGAUCGUCCUGAGAGAAGGCGGGGUUUUAUUGUCUGUUCAACCAACUAAUACUUGUAAUAUGAUUUUUCUUUUUAAUUGAUAGAUAAUUCAAUUAAAGUGGACUUUGCUGAAGAAAGUCAAAGAUGAAAGCUGAUGCUUUUAUUUCCUGUGGAUGAGCCUGUAACUGUAAAAGAACAUGGGACGGGGCCUCACUCUCAGUGAAGAGGGCAAAUUCUUCACAUCGCGCAAUGUGUGCAGACGAGUUUCAGCUUUACACACGCACACACACACACACAGAUACUCACACAGACCCAUACACACACACACACAAAGGAGUCCAGCUGUCAAUCAGAGUCUCGUAAGAAGCAGUCAACAGACAGGCUAUUCUCUGUCUUGGCAAAUGUCCCGUGCAGCAGAGAGAGCACUAUGUCACACAGAGACAGACAGACUUCCCUCUGUCACACACUCGCUCCAGCAUCGUUCACUCUCUCUGUGUCUGCCACAAAUCACAUUUUCAUUACACAGAAAAAAAGUUGUAGAGUCAUUUCAAAAUAUGAAAAAAUAAAGGUCUAUUUCCUGCAUUUUUCAUACAGAUUUAAAGGUACUGUGGAGCUCACAGAUCCAUACAGUCCAAUCUGGGGACAUUAUAUCUGCAGAAAUCCUAACCUGCAGUUUAGUGCGUAGGUGUAAUGAGAGCAUAAGAAAUAUUCAGGGUCUCCUCCUCCAAGCCUCACUUCUUCUUUUUCUCACUACGCUCCAUUUAUUUGACUGACACUGUGUCCACUAAAUUUGCAUGCGCUGGAGUCAUUUGGUGGAAGAGGGGCUGCUCUCAGAGCGACUCCUCCAGACGUGACAUCACAUUAAAAAAAAAAAAACACAAUUACACACUCAACAAGCGCACCCUGUGUGUACAGUACAUCUGGAUGAAGAAAAAAAGAGUUAUUACUUCACUAAGCCUUCAGAGGAAUCUCAUUUAAUGGAUAAAUGAUAGAUGGAUGGAUAGAUGGAUGGAUGGAUGGAUGGAUGGAUAGAUGGAUGGAUGGAUAGAUAGAUUAAUAGAUAGAUAGAUAAUGUUAACUUUUUAAUUUUUCUUUCUGCCAGACCUCCAAUACUGCAUAAAAGCCAGCAAAUGUUGGGUCAUGUCCAAACCUGUCCAGAUACCACUGAGAGCUCUCAGGCCAGGCCUUAGAUACAGCCUGCCAAAACAACAAUACAAUAAAGUACAAAAGAGUCAUUAACUACCAAAAGGACAUUUAAUCAGAGCAGUUCCGUUAUUUCCGCAUUAACAAUUCAAAAGAAAGAAAAACACUUUUCAUGCAAAGAAGAAGGAUCUAGUUCCUGGAGAUGAACCUGAGACGGUGGCACAUAGGUCAUAUUCAUUUAUCCUGAUUAAUUAAAAUCACAAUUAAUCCAUUACUAUUUUGCAAUGAUUUUUUAAAAAGAAUUAUAAAAACAAUAUAUUUAUUUGGGGUGUUUUUUUUCCUGCUACUUUACUUUUUGUCAGCUCCUAUUGGACAAUUCAUCUAUCAAUCACACAUUGUGACCACUCAUAUUCAGCUGCCAACUUGUCCUGUAUAACCAAAUCUGGAACACCCGUUCCCGAACCACUAAGAGUGUUUAAAGUUUCAAAACAGUAAAUCAAGUGCCUUGCUCUGAGAAUAUUAACAAGAGCCUUUUAAUAAAAAGUCCAAAUUUGUGUUAGAAGAAUUUCCCUCCACAGUGAAGCUGUGCUGUGAUCAGCCUGGCACUGAAGUCUUCCUGCUCACACUAGGGCAAUAAUGAGGCUUUUCCUUUUGAUGCUUCUCUACAGUGACUCCCUUAGCGACCACAGGAAAUGGAAUUUUCUAGUGGGAUCAAAACAAGUUGAGAGCUGUAAACGGUUUGAGUUUCCGACAAAGACAAUGUGCCAGAUUCCAGCGCCUUAAGGGACAUGGCCAUAUCACAAUGAGUCCUCUGUCUACGACGUGUGCACACACCCACUUGUACCCUCCGACACACACAAACGCCCAGUGAGACGUACAACACUAUGGAGUACUUCAAUGCUGUGAAGUCCUGAUUCAGUAGCCGAGUGUGUAUUUUCACGCAGUACCUUUGUUGUACUUGUGUGGCUGCAUGGCAUGGUGCACACCUCUACACUAGUGCAUAGUGAGUGAGUGUGUGUGCGCGCGUGUGUUCUUGUUUGUAGCCUAAAGGCAGCCUUACUUUUGACAGUUCUUAGAAUUGGUUUGGGGCAAGGUUCAAGCAGGUAAUGGAGAAAUUUGGUUUCUUUGUGUGUGUGUGUGUGUGGGUGGGUGUGGGUGUGUGAGUGUGAGUGUAUGCCUGCGGUCCUAGGGUCAGGCAGCCCAUUAGCAAGACAUCCCAGUAUCUAAGUGCCUCCCUCCAGCAGCUAGUUUGACAGCUCUGUAAUCUACGGUUCCUCACAGAGAUCACCAUGGUAGGUCUGCCGGUCUCUGGGCGUAGGUGAACGUGUGGCCACGUGGACCUGUGUAUGUGUGUGACUGUUGGUUGGUUGGUAGGCAGGGCAGGUUUAAGAAUGACCAGAACAUUCUCAGAAACAAAACUCGUACCAUCUCCCCAUUCGAGGAAAUCAGUAGAGUGAGACUUUCACGGUACGCCGACAGUCAGUAACAGACUUUUAUUGCUGACGUUACCUGUUAAAUCUUUUUUUACCUUUUAAAAAAGGGUUAAGAUGAAAAUCCUAUUGUAAAUAUUUCAAAUGAUUUCCCAUGACAUUUAAAGUUCAAACUAGUCGGGGAGAAGAAAAAAAAAGGAAAAUAUAAUUAUGUUGUGCAAUCGCUCAACAGGUCGGCCUGGAAAAUGUUUCGACUUGAACAACUUCAACAGCUGCCGUGCAAGAUUUAGAAAUAGUGGAAAAAUCUUAACGGAGAGUUUAAUGUUUUUGGAAUCUGACAAUACUUUGUAUGUAUACAUUGUAUUUAGUAAUAUUUGGUAAUGUCAGGACCAACCUCGCUACAGUAGCUACACUAAUUCAGUCAUUUCAAUGUUCCCGUUUUAUUUUGUGUCCAAUGUCUCAUCUCUAUCAUUAUGGUGAAAUAAGAUCACAUGUUCGAUUAUCGUUGGUAACUGGCGCUAAUGUCCUGUUUCCUCAUGUUUCUUAUUUAUUACCUCCCAGUCCGUGUAGGUGUGUAUUCUGCGUUCCUGUUUUGUUUUUUUGCGAACUGCUUCCUUGAAUUUUGCUGUUUAAUUUGCGUAUUUGAAUCUAAUUGUGAUACAGUAGGUUGACAGUACAAUGUGUACCAAAAAGAGACACCAAAUAUGAUGUUUUGAUCCGAACUGUGACCUGAGGAUGUAGUCUUUGUACAUCUCGAAAAGAUCUGAUUAAGAUUUCUUUUUCAGAUUUCUAUAUCUCACAGACUUGUUUCCUUUCCUUUCCUCUUCUUACGGCCCUGGAGUACAACGAAUGAGGGUGGGAAGGGAAGAGAAAGAGCAGCCAGAACAGAGCAGUCAGCUUUAAAGAGAAUGCUUUCAUCUUUCCCACAGACAGGCUGAGAGUUGUCUUAUCUCUGAGGCUUGGCCCUGCUAUCGCUCUCCCUGUUAAACAUUAGUCCCAGGAAUCCCCCUUGGCUUUAUAGGCAGGAGUGCAUGCAGAACACUUGUUCUUCUAUCCUAGUGCAAACUUUAAAUCAUGUCAGGAUAAUAAAUGCUAUUUCAUUUUUGCCUUUUAGAAGUUUAGAUUUUUACCUGGAGGGGAAAGUCAAUUGCCUAAGAAUUAAGGAAGCCUGGACUUAUAAUCAUGUUUGUUACAGUGUGUCUUGAUAUAAUCCGAUCUAAAGGGGUAAUCAGACAAAUACUUCUACACCUGGUGACCAAUCAAAGUGCUUAACACAACAGGUUCUGCUAUCAACCCAUUUACCUUAGGGCUUCCAGGUCGUACAAAGAAUUUGAAACUUGCAGCCUUGUUCCAGUGUAAACCUCUCCGCAGACUUUAACACCUGCCUGUAGGGAACUUGGGUCUGUACCAAAGACUAAGGUUACACUUCUUUUGUAACUCUGCUAUCUGUACUUCUCCCAACUCUAACAAAAAAACCCUUCAUGUUAAAUGUCAGUGACAUAUUAAAACCAAUGUACGCCUCACAGAGAAUGCCGUGUAUGUACACGGUGCUUACAAUGAAAUGUCUGAACUCAUCAGAACGCAUGAGUCGAAAGGCAACUUCAAAUGAGUGUGAACAAGACUUCGAUUCUAUCAAAGAAAGUUGAAUAUUUAUAGUUCGACUCUUUCCACUUUCCCAGGACUCUCUCAAAAACACAGGCUCUGCUCUUGACAGUUGGUAGUGUGUGUGAAGCUAACCGCCUGUUUCAGCACUGACUUGCAGCUGUAUGACUUUUGUUUUAUUUUGACCGUAUCCCGGCAACAGAGCUGUUCCUAUUUAGCUCCCUCUCCACCCUCUGGCUCCCAGCGCUCUGGGCUGCUUCGCUCUUCCACGUUAGUGUGUGUGUCUGUUACACAUCUGCUUUGCAUUGCCGGGGGAUCUCGGCACUGACUGAAGCCAGGAGGGCGGCGGAUCACGGUGGAGGUUGUAGAAGAAAGGGGUGAGAGGGUUGAAGUUGCACAGAGUGAAAGGAGAAAUAAGUAAAUAAAAACAGAGGAGUAAAAGAGACAAAGAGACAGGGAAAGUGCUACGAUGAAGACGUAACAGACGGAGAGAGAACGCGACUCUGUGAUGAAGGCAGAGGAUGAAAUAUAUGUUUCUGCAAUUCAGCAACAAGGACAUUAAUAUAAGGCAAUUAGAACACUUUUUAAGCUGCCGUGGACCAGACAGAAUGACUUAACGGGCCACAUUUAGCCCGUGGCCCUUGGGUUUGACAUGUAUUAGAGCUAUCAAGGUUUAUACAUUUGUAGUUUAGCAGUUUACUUCAGGGUUGGGUGAGCGAUAUCGCUAAUGUUGGUUGGCUGCAUUUCAUUAUUUAAUAUGCUAAAACUGCGAUUCGGGAGAGAACUGCGUUUGGUCGGGGAAGGGGGCGCUGUGAAAACAGACCAACAUCCAGGAGGGGAAUCAGUACUUUUAGACUAGGGUCAAGAAAGUGUCCACUGCUGCUACUCCUCUGGGAUUUUAUCUUUUUUUUACCAAUUGUUUUGCCUCUCCAUCCUCCACUCUCUCAUUCCUGCGGGCACCUCCUCCUCUCCGUUGCCUUCUCACUCAUAUGUCAGCUAAUUAUUGGACCUCACUGUGUGAUUAUGUAUUGCACAUGAGAUCCGACGCAGAGACGUGGAGAGGUGAGACGGUGAGCAAGUCAGCCGCGGAAAAGCGCUGCACUCAGUCCAGAGGACACGGAGCAGUCUUCCUUUAAUGCUGGGUGUUUUUUUGUUUUUUUUUUCGCGUGUUUCGUGUCCUUCUUAUGUAUGUGUAUGUUUUGCAGUUGAAGUCUGUUGAAAAGUGUGUCUCCUUGAAAGUCUUCUCAAUCAAACCAAAGUGGAGCAGGGAGUGCUCUGAGAGCACUUUAGCUUUCAGAUGAAGAGUGAUGAGAAUACACCCGUAAUUACAUGUGAAUCCUCCACCUGAAGCUGAAAACACAGAUGUGUGUGUGUGUGUGUUUGCGUAUGUCACCUAUUCAUCUGUCUUCCAUACUCUGAGUCACGCAGCCUCAAUCACAAAUGUCACUUGCCAACCACAACGAGCCUCAGUGUCCCCGACAUGUUCCAUAAAUGCUGAUGCAUUAAAAGGCAUGGGGCUUUUGUAUUCACACGAACCGUGAUGAAUCCACUGAGUACCAGCGGUUGCUAUCUUUUCACCAGAAACACAACAGAAAGUAUAAACGGAGGCAAAGCUGCAUCGAGUGGAAAUAUUUUGUCACCUUCAUUAAUUGAAACUGUAACGUAAUCGACUCGACUUUCUAUUGCAUUAACGUCUAGAAUGUGAGGCCGUGCAACUCUUGGGAAAAAUACAAUACAAAACUAAAGUCAAACGAGAGACAGCACACGUCCCUGAGAUACCGUCCUCCUCAAAUGUAGCACCCAUACCAUUAACUGGACAUUGGACUUCACCAUAAUGUCUCUAUAGGCUCUGAGUCAUCCUGGUCAUUUGAACAAAUCAAGAAACCAACCCAGUGAAGUUGCCUAUAUCUACACUGAUUUCACCUCUCUAUUUCUAAAUAAAGAUCAGAGCUGUGGUUUUCAACCUUGGGGUUGCGACCCCAUGUGGGGUUGCCUGGAAUUCACAUGGGGUCGCCUGAAAUGUCUUUGAGUGAAUGUUCAUUUUCAGCCUUGUAGAGACAACAUUUACGUUUACAUAGAUGUACUUUGUGGACACUUCUAUCCAGAGCGUGCUAACCGCUACACUGUGGAACCAACACGACAAGCUGCUCUAACAGUUCACGUGAUCAUGUGUGGAAAAUACAAUG
Long non-coding RNA from Cynoglossus semilaevis (tongue sole), 10259 nucleotides. RefSeq lists it as uncharacterized. The record is from RefSeq and is a predicted model, not a curated record. The transcript has 3 exons. Lineage: Eukaryota; Metazoa; Chordata; Actinopteri; Pleuronectiformes; Cynoglossidae.